RNAcentral lists this ribosomal RNA (347 nucleotides) under uncultured bacterium. Its description in RNAcentral is "bacterial SSU rRNA". It matches the Rfam family "Bacterial small subunit ribosomal RNA", at positions 28 to 402 of the family's 1533-position model. The record is from RNAcentral.
AACGAACGCUGGCGGCAUGCCUAACACAUGCAAGUCGAGCGCCCGUAGCAAUACGGGAGCGGCGCACGGGUGAGUAGCGCGUGGGAACCUGCCCAGAGGUUCGGGACAACCGCGGGAAACUGCGGCUGAUACCGGAUGAUGCCUGAGGGCCAAAGAUUUAUCGCCUUUGGAGGGGCCCGCGUCGGAUUAGGUAGUUGGUGAGGUAACGGCUCACCAAGCCUGUGAUCCGUAGCGGUCUGAGAGGAUGAUCAGCCACACUGGGACUGAGACACGGCCCAGACUCCUACGGGAGGCAGCAGUGGGGAGUAUUGGACAAUGGGGGCAACCCUGAUCCAGCAAUGCCGCGU